AUGGCCGCCAUCAGCAGCAGCAGCAGCAGCAAGCGCCGCUCCCCCUCCGCGUCCACCGCCUCCUCCUCCUCCGGCGACGGAAUCGGCGAGUACCGGCCGCAGCUGGUCACCCGGAAGCGGAGGUCCGGCGGGCGCGGGCCCCGCGGCGGCGUCCGGUGGAUGCCGGCGAUCCGACCAGUAAAUGAGCUGGAUUUAAAUAGAGUUUCUCUAGAUCCAAAUCAUCAAGUGGCUGGGUUGCGAGUUAUUCUGCAGAAGGAGCUCCGUAAUAGUGACAUAAGCCAGCUUGGGAGAAUUGUUCUCCCGAAGAAAGAGUCGGAGGCUUACCUCCCAAUUCUGACAUCAAAGGAUGGUAGAAGUCUACGUAUGCAUGAUUUGCUAAAUGCACAACUGUGGACAUUCAAGUACAGAUACUGGCCAAACAACAAGAGCAGGAUGUAUGUACUUGAGAAUACUGGGGAUUAUGUCCGAACCCAUAACCUUCGAGUGGGAGACUUCAUCAUGAUAUACAAAGACGAUGACAAAAACCGAUUUGUCAUCCGAGCAAAGAAGGCGGGAGAUGAUCUAGUUGCUUCUUUGCCACAAUUCCACGAGCAUAUCUCUUCCAUUCUGCCAAUUCCAGAAGUUGAUGACUAUGUGUCUCUAAUCCCACCACCAGCUGACAUCUCUGCCUUUGUGCCACAAGCUGAUGAGAAUUACGAGAUGUUUGAUGGGAUUUUCAACUCUCUGCCAGAGAUACCGGUAGCCAAUGUGAGGUACUCAGAUUUCUUCGACCCAUUCAGUGAUUGUAUGGACAUGUCGAAUCCCGGCCUGAACGCCAACAACUCAGCUAACCUGGCAAGUCAUUUCCAUGAUGAGAGGACUGGGCUUUCUUUGUUUCCCAACCCAAAGUCUGGGCCUCUGAUGUGA
RNAcentral lists this ribosomal RNA (906 nucleotides) under Triticum aestivum (bread wheat). RNAcentral's name for it is "partial small subunit ribosomal RNA". Lineage: Eukaryota; Viridiplantae; Streptophyta; Magnoliopsida; Poales; Poaceae. The record is from RNAcentral.